Caenorhabditis elegans is the source of this 52-nucleotide non-coding RNA. Lineage: Eukaryota; Metazoa; Nematoda; Chromadorea; Rhabditida; Rhabditidae. The record is from Ensembl.
UGGCCUAACUUUUCGGAAAUUUGGGUUUCUAGGCCAUCAACUUUAUAAAGUU